GAUGAAGAACGUAGCGAAAUGCGAUAAGUAAUGUGAAUUGCAGAAUUCAGUGAAUCAUCGAAUCUUUGAACGCACCUUGCGCUCCUUGGUAUUCCGAGGAGCAUGCCUGUUUGAGUGUCAUGAAAUUCUCAACCUUUUCAGCUUUCUUUGUUGAUCGGGCUUGGAUGUGGGAGUAUGCGGGCUUCUCAGAAGUCGGCUCUCCUGAAAUGCAUUAGCGGGACCUUUGUUGCCUGGCUUUGGUGUGAUAAUUAUCUACGCCAUUGUAGUCAAGCAGCUUAAAAUGAGGUUUCAGCUUCUAACCGUCUCCCCUGAGACAACUUUUUGACAAUUUGACCUCAAAUCAGGUAGGACUACCCGCUGAACUUAAGCAUAUCAAUAAGCGGAGGA
RNAcentral lists this unclassified non-coding RNA (387 nucleotides) under soil metagenome. Its description in RNAcentral is "partial contains 5.8S ribosomal RNA, internal transcribed spacer 2, and large subunit ribosomal RNA". The stretch from base 1 to 120 matches the Rfam family "5.8S ribosomal RNA", at positions 35 to 154 of the family's 154-position model. The record is from RNAcentral.